Molecule: ribosomal RNA, 441 nt
Filed under: Staphylococcus hominis
Lineage: Bacteria; Bacillati; Bacillota; Bacilli; Caryophanales; Staphylococcaceae
Description: bacterial SSU rRNA
Rfam family: Bacterial small subunit ribosomal RNA
Source: RNAcentral
UGAUGGGGCGAAAGCCUGACGGAGCAACGCCGCGUGAGUGAUGAAGGUCUUCGGAUCGUAAAACUCUGUUAUUAGGGAAGAACAAACGUGUAAGUAACUGUGCACGUCUUGACGGUACCUAAUCAGAAAGCCACGGCUAACUACGUGCCAGCAGCCGCGGUAAUACGUAGGUGGCAAGCGUUAUCCGGAAUUAUUGGGCGUAAAGCGCGCGUAGGCGGUUUUUUAAGUCUGAUGUGAAAGCCCACGGCUCAACCGUGGAGGGUCAUUGGAAACUGGAAAACUUGAGUGCAGAAGAGGAAAGUGGAAUUCCAUGUGUAGCGGUGAAAUGCGCAGAGAUAUGGAGGAACACCAGUGGCGAAGGCGACUUUCUGGUCUGUAACUGACGCUGAUGUGCGAAAGCGUGGGGAUCAAACAGGAUUAGAUACCUGGGGGUAGUCCCAA